GACGAACGCUGUCGGCGCGCCUAACACAUGCAAGUCGAACGGAGUUGCUGAAGCUGAAUUUUUCGGAAGGACGCAUUAGUAACUUAGUGGCGGACGGGUGAGUAACGCGUGAGUAACCUGCCUUUCAGAGGGGGAUAACGUUUGGAAACGAACGCUAAUACCGCAUAACAUAACGAGGUCGCAUGGUUUUGUUAUCAAAGGAGCAAUCCGCUGGAAGAUGGACUCGCGUCCAAUUAGCUAGUUGGUGAGGUAAAGGCCAACCAAGGCGACGAUUGGUAGCCGGACUGAGAGGUCGAACGGCCACAUUGGGACUGAGACACGGCCCAGACUCAUACGGGAGGCAGCAGUGGGGAAUAUUGCACAAUGGGCGCAAGCCUGAUGCAGCAACGCCGCGUGAGCGAAGAAGGCCUUUGGGUCGUAAGGCUCUGUCCUUGGGGAAGAAACAAAUGACGGUACCCUUGGAGGAAGCCCCGGCUAACUACGUGCCAGCAGCCGCCGUAACAC
Molecule: ribosomal RNA, 504 nt
Filed under: uncultured bacterium
Lineage: Bacteria
Description: bacterial SSU rRNA
Rfam family: Bacterial small subunit ribosomal RNA
Source: RNAcentral